AAUCAACGCUGGCGGCGUGCCUCAGACAUGCAAGUCGAACGAUUAAAGCUCUCUUCGGAGAGUGCAUAGAGUGGCGCACGGGUGAGUAACACGUAAGUAAUCUACCUUCGAGUGGGGAAUAACGUCCGGAAACGGACGCUAAUACCGCAUAAUGCAGCGGCAUCGCAAGAUGACAGUUGUUAAAGGAGCAAUUCGCUUGAAGAGGAGCUUGCGGCAGAUUAGCUAGUUGGUAAGGUAAUGGCUUACCAAGGCUACGAUCUGUAACCGGUCUAAGAGGACGGUCGGUCACACUGACACUGAAUAACGGGUCAGACUCCUACGGAGGCAGCAGUCGGGAAUUUUGGGCAAUGGGCGAAAGCCUGACCCAGCAACGCCGCGUGAAGGAUGAAGUAUUUCGGUAUGUAAACUUCGAAAGAAUGGGAAGAAUCAAUGACGUACCAUUUAUAAGGUCGGCUAACUACGUGCCAGCAGCCGCAGU
Molecule: ribosomal RNA, 478 nt
Filed under: uncultured bacterium
Lineage: Bacteria
Description: bacterial SSU rRNA
Rfam family: Bacterial small subunit ribosomal RNA
Source: RNAcentral